Molecule: unclassified non-coding RNA, 211 nt
Filed under: rhizosphere metagenome
Description: partial ribosomal RNA internal transcribed spacer region
Source: RNAcentral
GUAGGUGAACCUGCGGAAGGAUCAUUAGUGAAUUUAGCGCAUCUGCUUGCAGAGCGUGACCCCACUCUAUACACUGUGCACUUAUUGGCGAAGGAAAAGAUUGUCAUUUCGAUUUCGAUUUUUUUUCUUUGCGGCUCACUUUUAAACACCAGUCAAAGUAUGUAUAUAAAUAAAAUAAGAAAAACUUUCAACAACGGAUCUCUUGGCUCUC